This 548-nucleotide ribosomal RNA is filed under the name uncultured Glomus. RNAcentral describes it as "SSU rRNA". It matches the Rfam family "Eukaryotic small subunit ribosomal RNA", at positions 548 to 1098 of the family's 1831-position model. The record is from RNAcentral. Lineage: Eukaryota; Fungi; Glomeromycota; Glomeromycetes; Glomerales; Glomeraceae.
UUGGAGGGCAAGUCUGGUGCCAGCAGCCGCGGUAAUUCCAGCUCCAAUAGCGUAUAUUAAAGUUGUUGCAGUUAAAAAGCUCGUAGUUGAAUUUCGGGAUCAGAUUGUCGGUCGUGCCUCGGUACGUACUGGCAUUAUUGGUUCCUACCUGCUGAAGAACCGCGAUGUCAUUAAUUUGGUGUCGUGGGGAAUCAGGAUUGUUACUUUGAAAAAAUUAGAGUGUUUAGAGCAGGCGCGCGCUUGAAUACAUUAGCAUGGAAUAAUGAAAUAGGACGUUUGAUUCUAUUUUGUUGGCUUCUAGGAUCGACGUAAUGAUUAAUAGGGAUAGUUGGGGGCAUUAGUAUUCAAUUGUCAGAGGUGAAAUUCUUGGAUUUAUUGAAGGCUAACUACUGCGAAAGCAUUUGCCAAGGAUGUUUUCAUUAAUCAAGGACGAAAGUUAGGGGAUCGAAGACGAUCAGAUACCGUCGUAGUCUUAACCAUACAUUAUGCCGACUAGGGAUCGGAUGAUGUUAAUUUUUUAAUGACUCAUUCGGCGCCUUACGGGAAAC